UCGCACCUACCGAUUGGAUGGUCCGGUGAAAUCUCGGGAUUGUGGGUUUGUCUUUGGACAGACUUGCGAGAACUUGCUUAAACCUUAUCAUCUAGAGGAAGGUG
This 104-nucleotide ribosomal RNA is filed under the name uncultured eukaryote. RNAcentral's name for it is "partial small subunit ribosomal RNA". It matches the Rfam family "Eukaryotic small subunit ribosomal RNA", at positions 1676 to 1785 of the family's 1831-position model. The record is from RNAcentral.